Molecule: non-coding RNA, 774 nt
Filed under: Lethe titania
Lineage: Eukaryota; Metazoa; Arthropoda; Insecta; Lepidoptera; Nymphalidae
Source: RNAcentral
GAUAAAGUUUUUAUGUUUUAUAAAGUUUAUUGUAAGUUUAUUUUACAUAUAAAUUUUAGUAUUAAAUUUUAAUUAUUUUAAAAAUAAUUAAUUGUGAAAGAUAGUAAUUAAAAUUAAAAAUUUAAGAAAUUAAGAUUUAGUAAUAUAAAAAUUAAUAACUAAUUUUGUGCCAGCAGUUGCGGUUAUACAAAAAUUAAAUUAAAUUAUUUCAGUAUUUAAUAAAUAAAAUAUAAUUAAAAUAAAUAUUAAAUUAUUAGGUGAAAUUUUAAUUUAAUUAAAUUUUAAAUUAAUUUUAUGAUUUAAUAAAUUUGGUAAUAAACUAGGAUUAGAUACCCUAUUAUUAAAAAUUUAAUUAAUAAUGCUAAAAUAGUAAAUAAUAAAUAUUGAAACUUAAAUAAUAUGGCGGUAUUUUAGUUCAUUUAGAGGAACCUGUUUAAUAAUUGAUAAUCCACGAAUAAAUUUACUUAAUUUAUUAUUUUAUAUAUCGUUGUUAAAAAAAUAUUUUUUAAUAAAAAUAAUAUUUAAAAAUUUAAAAUAUAAAUUAAUUCAGAUCAAGAUGUAGAUUAUAAUUAAGAAUAUAAUGGGUUACAAUAAAAUAAUUUAAAAUGAAUAAUUAAUUUUAAGAUUAAUUUAAAGGUGGAUUUAAAUGUAAUUUUAAUUAAUUUAUUAAAAUGAUUAAAAAUUGAAAUAUGUACAUAUUGCCCGUCACUUUCAUUUUAAAAUUGAAAUAAGUCGUAACAAAGUAGAAGUACUGGAAAGUGUUUCUAGAAUGAA